UGAAAUAACGUCAUUUCUGACGUACUACCCGGCC
This 34-nucleotide small RNA is filed under the name Bombyx mori (domestic silkworm). RNAcentral describes it as "ovarian small RNA-30528". The record is from RNAcentral. Lineage: Eukaryota; Metazoa; Arthropoda; Insecta; Lepidoptera; Bombycidae.